CCUACGGGUGGCAGCAGUGAGGAAUAUUGGUCAAUGGCCGUAAGGCUGAACCAGCCAAGUCGCGUGAAGGAAGAAGGAUCUAUGGUUUGUAAACUGCUUUUAUAGGGGAAUAAAGGUAUCCAGGUGUGGAUAUUUGCAUGUACCCUAUGAAUAAGCAGCGGCUAACUCCGUGCCCGCAGACGCGGUAAUACGGAGGAGGCGAGCGUUAUCCGGAUUUAUGGGGUUUAAAGGGUGCGUAGGUUUUUUUUUAGGUCAGCGGUGAAAGUUUGUGGCUCAACCCUAAAAUUGCCGUUGAAACUGGCAGCCUUGAGUGUGUUUGAGGUAGGCGGAAUGCGUGGUGUAGCGGU
RNAcentral lists this ribosomal RNA (347 nucleotides) under uncultured bacterium. RNAcentral's name for it is "partial 16S ribosomal RNA". It matches the Rfam family "Bacterial small subunit ribosomal RNA", at positions 338 to 682 of the family's 1533-position model. The record is from RNAcentral.